This is a non-coding RNA of Vicugna pacos (alpaca), 228 nucleotides long. The record is from RefSeq and is a predicted model, not a curated record. NCBI's taxonomy places the organism in Eukaryota, Metazoa, Chordata, Mammalia, Artiodactyla, Camelidae.
ACUGAGGCAGGCAUGAUCUUUGCCUUAGCUGCACUGUCCCAGCUGUUGGGCUGGCAGGGAGCGGGAGGUACAAGUUCAGAGACCCAGACAGAGCAGACUGCCCCAGUGUCGGCGCAUAGUCCCCAUCUCUCCUGGGUAAACCACUUUCCACCCUAGUGGAACAAUGAAGGGCUCACAGUAGGUCCCUGGGUGUGGUAGAGCUGUCCUCAUGUGAAGAAAAACCCCAGC